Molecule: ribosomal RNA, 165 nt
Filed under: uncultured bacterium
Lineage: Bacteria
Description: partial 16S rRNA
Rfam family: Bacterial small subunit ribosomal RNA
Source: RNAcentral
UAGGGAAUCUUCGGCAAUGGACGAAAGUCUGACCGAGCAACGCCGCGUGAGUGAAGAAGGUUUUCGGAUCGUAAAACUCUGUUGGUAGAGAAGAACGUUGGUGAGAGUGGAAAGCUCAUCAAGUAACGGUAACUACCCAGAAAGGGACGGCUAACUACGUGUCAG